AACGAAACUUCUUUAUCACCGAGUGCUUGCACUCACCGAUAAAGAGUUGAGUGGCGAACGGGUGAGUAACACGUGGGCAACCUGCCCAAAAGAGGGGGAUAACACUUGGAAACAGGUGCUAAUACCGCAUAACCAUAGUUACCGCAUGGUAACUAUGUAAAAGGUGGCUAUGCUACCGCUUUUGGAUGGGCCCGCGGCGCAUUAGCUAGUUGGUGGGGUAAAGGCUUACCAAGGCAAUGAUGCGUAGCCGAACUGAGAGGUUGAUCGGCCACAUUGGGACUGAGACACGGCCCAAACUCCUACGGGAGGCAGCAGUAGGGAACCUUCCACAAUGGGCGAAAGCCUGAUGGAGCAACGCCGCGUGGGUGAAGAAGGUCUUCGGAUCGUAAAACCCUGUUGUUAGAGAAGAAAGUGCGUGAGAGUAACUGUUCACGUUUCGACGGUAUCUAACCAGAAAGCCACGGCUAACUACGUGCCAGCAGCCGCGGUAAUACGUAGGUGGCAAGCGUUAUCCGGAUUUAUUGGGCGUAAAGGGAACGCAGGCGGUCUUUUAAGUCUGAUGUGAAAGCCUUCGGCUUAACCGGAGUAGU
RNAcentral lists this ribosomal RNA (590 nucleotides) under uncultured bacterium. Its description in RNAcentral is "bacterial SSU rRNA". It matches the Rfam family "Bacterial small subunit ribosomal RNA", at positions 65 to 622 of the family's 1533-position model. The record is from RNAcentral.